Molecule: long non-coding RNA, 633 nt
Filed under: Parus major (Great Tit)
Lineage: Eukaryota; Metazoa; Chordata; Aves; Passeriformes; Paridae
Description: lncRNA (ENSPMJG00000013188.1)
Source: RNAcentral
UGGAAGAGUAGUUUUAAACUGUCCUGGAAUGUAUUUGAAUACUCCAGUACACAUGAAGGUCCAUGUCCAAUCUGCAUAUUAAUUUUUAUUCACCCGUUCUAGCAAUAAGGACAAUAUGCUUAUUUUUGAUGCCAAAGGCUAUUAUGAAGCAUAAGAUAUGGUCCAAAAAUCACAGCAGUUUCAUACAAGUGACUCAAUUUUGAAGGAAUAAUUGAGAGAGAAAGCUACAUUUCUUCCAAAAAUGCCAGGCCCAGUGGUUCUUUUCAGCCCUGUGUACAGAGACGGGUUCAGACAAUGGUCUCACUUCUAAGCUGUAUGUAUUCUUGCCUUUUCCAGGACUCUGCUUUGGUUUGCUGCUCAUGGCGAGGAGUUCUGCAAAGCACAGAUGUGGCUGGCAAAGUGGGGAACAAAGCUUGGGUAGAGGAGAUAACACAGCAGCCUUUCAGUUGUCCUGAAGGAACCAGUUAUGGCCUGACUGUGUGUCAGUGGGGUGCCUGCUGUAGUCUGCCUGGCACUGCAGUGCAGCUCAACGGCUUCCUGCUUGAGGGACAACUCAGUAUGCUGUUUUCUGAAACCCAGGAAAAAGCUUUGGUGUUACCCUGGACUUUUCUGGAAGGUGUAUUUCUUUGGUAG